This is a long non-coding RNA of Lolium rigidum, 3349 nucleotides long. RefSeq lists it as uncharacterized. NCBI's taxonomy places the organism in Eukaryota, Viridiplantae, Streptophyta, Magnoliopsida, Poales, Poaceae. The record is from RefSeq and is a predicted model, not a curated record. The transcript is spliced from 14 exons.
CGGAGGAGGGAAACACGUGCGACAGGGGCAGCGCGGGAGGGUGGCGCGGACGACCUUUGCCAGUGGCCGGACGAGAGAGGAGGAUCUUGAGUACUGUCGCCACCACCCAUGGUCUGCUCUUCCCCUUUUUCUCUCCUCAUCGCCAAGAUUGAAGAUUGGGCUGGCAGGCUGAACGGUGCUGCUCAUCCAAUCCACUCGCAGUCUCACUGGGCAGGAGGAGGCCGAGUUGCAGCCGGGUUGCCUGCUCGCUCUCCUCUUCCCCAAUCCCCUGUGCCUCUCCUCCUCUAGCUCUUUGGCCCCUUCUCCACCGCCACCCAUCUGCCAAUUUUAUCCAUGGCUGGAACAUGGAGAGGCAGAGGAAAGCAAAGCACCAUGGAUGCGGAGGCAGAGCUCGACAUGGAGGAGCAACUCCCCUUCGUCUAGGAUCUACAGCAGUUUUUCAAUGGUGAGUUGGUGCUACUGGUGGUGAGGGGCACGAAGACGGAGUACUUGGUGGAUCUGUAGUCGUACUACAUCACCGAAUCCUCGGUGUUGGUCGUCAUGGAAAAACACAUCUAGAGGUGAUUAGCAAGGUAUGUUGACUCUUGUCGUGCAUAAGGGGCCAGAGGUCUCUCCACGAUUUGAGACAUACUAGAUAAUUCCAUGGUCGAUCAAGAGCAGCGGUGUUGUGUUGAUGAAGAACAGGGUCAUGAGGGUGUUCAGGAUGCCAUCAAAUUAUCUCGAGUUCUAGAUUGGUGUUCUUGCGGCUCUAGAUUGUCACCCACUAGGUGGAGCUCGGUUAACCAUGGAUUUGCGGCAAGAAGAACUCACGCCAAGAUUGAUUCGUUGUUAAUGAUGUCCUGCUGGCUCAUGCUCUCCUCCACGGUAUUCUCAUGGCCAGCCUACAAGCGGAUAGCUGCAGCAUUGGGGCUCAUACUGGUCAGCCAGGUCCUGGCAGUGCCCAGGGACAAAGCAUCGAUGACGGCGACCUUGCCGACUCUGCACUGUCCUAGAAUUUAGGGUGGAAGCCGCAUAGGUUUGUCUGACCUUGAUGCUUGAUACAUCUUUAUCUGUUAUAUCCAUUUGUUGAACACGUGCAUUUAUUUUUUACCUUUUGCAUUCAGGUUCCCAUCAUACCACUAAUUCUUACAUUUUAAUAUUUCUCUGUAAGAAGGUGGAACGACAAUGCUGUAGGAGAAGUAUGAUAAAAAUGUGUCCACACAGUAAGUGUUCUCCUUAAUUUAGCUCUUGCAAAUGAGAGCAAGUCGAGUAGUCUGCUAGCUUUCUCAGUUUUUCAAUCUGUGUAGUGAAGAAGAUUAAGAAGUUUCUAAUUCGUAUUUACCUCACAGACACUCAUUUUCUAUUUUGCUAGAAUUUCAUUACUAAAGGAGGUGCAUCAUUAUUUUUUGUUUUCCUUAGUUAGGUUCAUUCUUCAGUGCCAUUGACAUCAUUUGGCUCAAAACAGUCCAUGGUAAAGAUGGUUUUAUGUUGCUUUGUACAUGUGACAUGGGAAACCAACGCGGAAAGCUCACUUCUGGUGGUGAUGCUCUAAUAUCAUGGGGCAAGUGAUUCUUCUCUUUUGCUUCUGGCAUUGUCUUCUUUGAAUCCUCCUUAUCUAUUUUACUUAGGAUGGGGGAGGGACACAUAUAUGCUGAUGUGACGGUUGUGGUCAUCCAGUACAUUUGCAGCCUCACCUCUACACAACCUCCUACAUUUGACCAUGCAAUUCAUGUCCACUUUGUCCAGGGCUGUUUCCUUUUCCUUUUAAUUUGUUUAGCAGAUGUGAACAUCCUUGAUUGUAUUUGUUUGCCAAAAAUUAAUCCCCAAACCUUCUUGUUUCGUUUGUGCAGAUUUCUUUUGAAGAAGUACAUGUGUGUUCUAGCUCGAUGGACAUUAGCCCAAGAUCUGGAAGAAAUCAAGAGAUAACCAAUUGAUGUUGUGGAUGACAUCUAAGGUUGUAGCUAUUGCAUAUAGGACAGUCAGCCACACUAUUGAUAUCUCCGUCUUUGCCAGUACCGCCUGCCCUGUUGUCAUGAAUUAUAUGCAGGUAUCCAGCAGAGUACAUUGUUUUACCAGUGCAUUGAAGCUGAAUCUACUCUUGGUAAAAUGAUUAUCAAAGUUAAUGUUAUAAAGUAGUCCUGAUAACAUAAAUCAAAGUUAAUGGUAAAAUAAUUCGUUGUGGUUUGCUUUCCAUCUUUUUUGUUUGCCAAGAAAUAUUUUAUUACCGCUCAUCGUCUGUGGAACAGUUUGCCUGGCUGCACCCACAAUCUACUAUCCAUUUUUGUGAAACUUAUUUCCGUGCUAUCCUCUAUUUCUCUGAAUACAUUGCAUUUACUUUGUCCGCUCACAUCUUCCAUUUGUAGCCCACUUUUUUGUUUCUAAUCAGUGCACAUAGAUUCUACUUUGUUUGGCAUUUGUGCUACAACAGAACUAAUGGUUGACUGCAUUGUAUCCUUUGAAAGCAUCCAAUUGUUACUAAUGCAUAUUUGGUAACAGACUGAGGUUUGUGCUCUGCUUUCAGCCAUGUUCAGAACACAGAUUUACCUCUUACAGUAUUUCACAACCUCUUGCAUGUGGAAUCAAGUCACAUUAUUUGUUGAAAUUGGUCCAACCUGGACAUUGCAUGAUGCACCGAGGAGGUACACGACCACCGGCGUCCAUGUCGUCAGAUGUUCUCGAUAUAGAGAAUACAUCUAUGCAGCAACCCUAGAGAUGGUUACCCAGGAUAUUCAGUUUGUGAUUCAUGCCUUGUAUGCUGAUGCCCCAAUCAAAGAAUGGAAUUUUCUGUAUCCCCUAAUGUACGAGUUACUGUUCAGUGCAAGUGCAUCAUGCUUUCCAAGCCUCUCCUCCCCAUCUUGAUCUGCAGUUAAGGGCACGUGUUCUUGAGGUUAAUUCUGGUAAAAUCUUCGAACGCAAGGAUAGAGCAACUUACUGAUCGAUACCUCAGAAAAGCACCAUAGUGAAGCUACUCAUUUAGAAACUUGUCAUGGCUUGCUGAGAGCUGGAGUAAGCUGGAGCUGGAGCAAAAAAUGUUUAGAGCCCCUUACAGCUCUCUGCACCGCAUGUACUCCCUCUGAUGUAAACGUGUUGAUGGUUUAAUACAAAAGUCAACUUCAGGUCAGGACCCCUCUUGUUCAGGUCACCAUUAAAAGACAAUAUAUGCUAGAAUGGGAAUUGAAGGUUCUCGUGAUGGUGCAUACUUCUUGUUUAGAUAGAAUCGAAGAUUGAACAAAUGAUUCAACUAGUUCUCUAUUCCAUCGAUGAUCAUUGUAUAAAUACAAGGUGAACGGACGCGAGUUAACGGACGCGUCCGAUCGUGGGGGGUUGGGAGUAUGGAAACACGAACGAGAAACACACCCGUCGGUUCUCA